This 64-nucleotide microRNA precursor is filed under the name Myotis davidii. Its description in RNAcentral is "mir-9242 microRNA precursor family". It matches the Rfam family "mir-9242 microRNA precursor family". Lineage: Eukaryota; Metazoa; Chordata; Mammalia; Chiroptera; Vespertilionidae. The record is from Rfam by way of RNAcentral.
GGCCUCCCUCUGCGGGGUGAUAGAUCAUGGGGCUCUGUGAUUGAUUGCUCCAUAGAGGGAGGCC